RNAcentral lists this long non-coding RNA (504 nucleotides) under Androctonus crassicauda. Lineage: Eukaryota; Metazoa; Arthropoda; Arachnida; Scorpiones; Buthidae. The record is from RNAcentral.
GGAAUUUGAUCCAUAAUUUAGAUUGAUCAGUAAAUAUCAUGUUGUCUAUUUUCUUUGUAAUAUAAAUAAGGAAAAACAUUAAAAAUUAAGCAAUAUUAAUAAAAAUAGUGUAAUAGUGAUUUAUAUAAGAAGUACAAAUAUAAUGAUCAAAUUUGAUGAUUUUAAGUAUAAUGAUCCAAGUUUGCUUAAGAACUGAAAGUUAAUGUAUACUAUUAACAUCUAUGGGAGAUUACUUUUUAAUUUGUGCUGUUUUUAGUUUAAUCAUAAUUUUCCAAAUCUAUUAUAGGUUGAAUACUGAUUUUCCAGAUGCUGAUGAUCCAGUACCUCCUUUAAUCCAGACAAAAUUUUCAGAACAUAAAAUCCCUGCUACUGUUCAAUUAAUUGAUGAAAAAAAUGAAGCAAAUUUGAUCUCUGAAGUAAACAUCAAGUAAUAUUGUCUUAAUUGGUUAUAAACUUACAAAAUAUAUGAAACAUGAUAUUAAAUAUCAGUGAUGUAUCUUAGAU